GAUGAACGCUGGCGGCGUGCUUAACACAUGCCAGUCGAACGAGAAGUGAAGACGGAAACCUUCGGGCGGAAGGCUUUAUUUCGAGUGGCGGACGGGUGAGUAACGCGUGGGUAACCUGCCUCAUACAGGGGGAUAACAGUUGGAAACGACUGUUAAUACCGCAUAAGACCACAGCACCGCAUGGUGCGGGGGUAAAAACUCCGGUGGUAUGAGAUGGACCCGCGUUCGAUUAGCCAGUUGGCGGGGUAACGGCCCACCAAAGCGACGAUCGAUAGCCGAGCUGAGAGGCUGACCGGCCACAUUGGGACUGAGACACGGCCCAAACUCCUACGGGAGGCAGCAGUGGGGAAUAUUGCACAAUGGGGGAAACCAUGAUGCAGCGACGCCGCGUGAGUGAAGAAAUAUUUCGGUAUGUAAAGCUCUAUCAGCAGGGAAGAACAUGACGGUACCUGAGUAAGAAGCCCCGGCUAACUACGUG
RNAcentral lists this ribosomal RNA (478 nucleotides) under uncultured bacterium. RNAcentral describes it as "partial 16S ribosomal RNA". It matches the Rfam family "Bacterial small subunit ribosomal RNA", at positions 28 to 507 of the family's 1533-position model. The record is from RNAcentral.